UACGUAGGGGGCAAGCGUUGUCCGGAUUUAUUGGGCGUAAAGAGCGUGUAGGCGGCUUUACAGGUCCGUUGUGAAAACUCGAGGCUCAACCUCGAGACGCCGGUGGAAACCGUAAGGCUAGAGUCCGGAAGAGGAGAGUGGAAUUCCCGGUGUAGCGGUGAAAUGCGUAGAGAUCGGGAGGAACACCGGUGGCGAAGGCGGCGUCCUGGACCAACACUGACACUGAUGAGCGAAAGCCAGGGGAGCAAACGGG
RNAcentral lists this ribosomal RNA (253 nucleotides) under uncultured bacterium. RNAcentral describes it as "partial 16S ribosomal RNA". It matches the Rfam family "Bacterial small subunit ribosomal RNA", at positions 524 to 776 of the family's 1533-position model. The record is from RNAcentral.